UACGGGGGGAGCAAGCGUUGUUCGGAUUUACUGGGCGUAAAGGGCGCGUAGGCGGCGUGACAAGUCACUUGUGAAAUCUCCGGGCUUAACUCGGAACGGUCAAGUGAUACUGUCGGACUAGAGUACAGAAGGGGCAACUGGAAUUCUCGGUGUAGCGGUGAAAUGCGUAGAUAUCGAGAGGAACACCAGAGGUGAAGACGGGUUGCUGGGCCGACACUGACGCUGAGGCGCGAAAGCCAGGGGAGCAAACGGGG
This 254-nucleotide ribosomal RNA is filed under the name uncultured bacterium. RNAcentral's name for it is "partial 16S ribosomal RNA". It matches the Rfam family "Bacterial small subunit ribosomal RNA", at positions 524 to 777 of the family's 1533-position model. The record is from RNAcentral.